Molecule: non-coding RNA, 73 nt
Organism: Potamilus streckersoni
Lineage: Eukaryota; Metazoa; Mollusca; Bivalvia; Unionida; Unionidae
Source: the annotation of a GenBank genome assembly
GCCCCGGUGGCCUAAUGGUUAGAGCGUCCGCUUCGGAUGCAGGAGGUCGCGGGUUGGAACCCUGGUGGAGUCA